UACGUAGGGUGCAAGCGUUGUUCGGAAUUACUGGGCGUAAAGGGAGCGUAGGCGGAUUUGUAAGUUAGGAGUUCAAUCCAUGGGCUUAACCCAUGUUCUGCUCUUAAUACUGCAGGUCUUGAGUAUGGAAGAGGGUGAUGGAAUUUCAGGUGUAGCGGUGGAAUGCGUAGAUAUCUGAAAGAACACCAGUAGCGAAGGCGGUCACCUGGUCCAAUACUGACGCUGAGGCUCGAAAGCUAGGGGAG
RNAcentral lists this ribosomal RNA (245 nucleotides) under uncultured bacterium. RNAcentral's name for it is "partial 16S ribosomal RNA". It matches the Rfam family "Bacterial small subunit ribosomal RNA", at positions 524 to 768 of the family's 1533-position model. The record is from RNAcentral.